This 402-nucleotide long non-coding RNA is filed under the name Homo sapiens (human). RNAcentral describes it as "HSALNT0139353". Lineage: Eukaryota; Metazoa; Chordata; Mammalia; Primates; Hominidae. The record is from RNAcentral.
CAUGUUUCCUAAAGCAAAGGUCAAAGAAUCCUCGGAAGCCCUAAAAAACACUGUUUCUGUGGAUAGAGCCUGAGCUUUUGUUUUGCUGUUUGUUCUGAAAAUCCAAAUCGGUAACCCCUGUUUUCAGGUAUUAUCCAAAGGAACAUUUUUUGGUUUCUUCUACCCACAUACUCCCAAAUUAGGCACCUACCUUAAAGUAACAGGAAAACUCGUGGGUUUGUAAUUGUGUGAUAUCCCAUCUGGUUUCAACUCUGUCGCUGACCAAAAAGAAAGGAUGAAAAAUGUAAGCAAACUUCUGUAAACUGCAACUACAAAUUAGGAGGAAUAGGCUAAGCAUCAUUUGAUGUUUGUCUGCACAUCAGUCAAGUGAGGGUUCAGAGUCAUCUGCUGAAUUUGGCCUCU